This is a long non-coding RNA of Canis lupus familiaris (dog), 1051 nucleotides long. RefSeq lists it as uncharacterized. Lineage: Eukaryota; Metazoa; Chordata; Mammalia; Carnivora; Canidae. The transcript has 3 exons. The record is from RefSeq and is a predicted model, not a curated record.
CCGGAGAGGCAGGGGAAGGGGGGCGGAAAUGGACUCCAGAGGCUGCAAGUCUGAGGCAAAUUAGCUAUGAUUUGCAAAAUUCCAAGGAAAGGAGAGGAUGCGGUGGAAGCGUUUGGGGUUGAAAUGAUCCUGAUGGAAACCACAGAAAAGCAUAAAAAAAACAGCCAAAAGUGACAUUCUCCAGAGGGCCCAAAGACCAGGAAUCAGAUAGAUGGAGAAAGAAGGUUAUCACCUCUGCUCUCCUGAGGUGGCGGGGGUGAAGCAGCUUGCACUGGGAGAAGAGAGUGCAUUGUUUUCACUGGCGGCUCCCUCAGGCAGCCGCUGUAUUUUUCCACUGCGUGGAUCACGCUGGAGAUUAAUUUUGGUUCAGCCGGUGCCUGCCAAGCAGAAAGUGAUGGCCUGAGCCCACGGGGAAGUCAGCCACGGCAUCUGCCACGGACUUGAAGUUGCUGGUACGUUUCCACGAAAGGAGAUAUUUGUAAUAGUAAAUUUCUAGGGUUUGAUAAAAACACUGGGUACAGUUUGUUUUGAAAGGCGUGAACACACUUGCCAAGGAAAUGAGCUUGCCAGCUCAGGAUAAGUUCUUAGAAUUUAGAACACAUGGAUCUUUCAGGCUCUGAGACUCAAGUGGCAGAUGGCGAACCAGUGGGGAAAGGUCAAGGACACUGAUUGGGUGUCAAGGCCUUAAAUGACCUGGCUGGACCAGGACCACUGUUCAGGGCACUACUGGAGAAGUCAAAUCACUUUUCUACCUCUCUGCGCUACCCAGCCAUCUUGGAAGGGCCACCAAGUCAUAGACCAGAUCCUGAGACACACAUCUGUGAGACCCCUGUCCAGAUGGUUUCACUCACGGGAGAGGGAUUAGCUGGGGCUUCCCAAGAAAUAAAGCAUUGAGAUUAAUAGAAAUGCCAUAAUUUAUUCUGUUGUAUAAAAAAGUCGUCCUUAUGUAACAAAAUGUCUUCUUAAAAGAAGAAAUAUAUUAUUUCAGUUCAUAAAUAAACAUACAACUGCUGACAACUAAAAAAAAAAAAAACAACACUGGUGCUUUCCA